UGUUAAAAACGGAUGUGAACAGGCUGCACAGAAAAGGGCAGCACUGAAAUGCGUUUUUGUGAAAUUGAUUGAAUGGUUUGUUAAUGUAAAUAUAAAUGCAUAUUGCUAGAUGAUGGAUAUGUGAUAAUGAAUCGAUAUGAAAUACAUCUAUAUUAUGCAUUUUAAACAUUUGAAGGUUGACUUUAUGUCAAGCUAGGUACAUUGAAGCUUGGGAAGUCAACAGGUCAAACGGGUGGCAAGGUAACAACCACAACCUAUGGGCUAAGGAAUUUUGGAUGGAACUCACUUAAAAGAAUGAGUGAUGGAUUCAAAUAAUCGUCGUAAGUAAAGCUUACACCCUUUUCGUAAGAUAAGUAUUUAAUUAUAGGUUAUAAGUAUGACAUAGAUUGUAUUUGAAAUAUGGUUCCGACACGAAAUGAUACGGGUUGGAACAUAUCAAAUGAUGAAAAAUCCAUGUUUAAUGGUAAGAGAUGAAAUGAUAAUUUGGUCAUGAAGUGACAUAUAUAAAAUGCGUUUUCGAAUGGUUACUUUAUAAGUAAGCCUAAUCGGAUAAAAAAGGGGUAGAAACGGUGAUUUAGUCGCUUAUAAAUGAAAUGGGUCAAAUGGUAAAGUCGAUACCAUUUGACAAAUAAAGACUAAUAAUUGCUUGUCGAGAUGCUCACAGGAUGAAAUGCCUAUCAAUUAGCAUAUUAUGGAGAAAAGGUAUUUAAAACGGGUUAAUAUGUUGACCCGAGCCAGGUACGCAUAAUUAAGUUUAUAGUUAAAAGUGCGAUUUUGGUCAAAUUAAUUUGUGAAAGUCCUUCGUCGUAAAAUGAGGGACUUAAAUUGACCAAAAAGCCCUUGAUGGGUAACGACCCUUAGAGGUUGUUUAAGAACAUGUAAUAUGAUCAUGUAAGUGUUAAAUAAGCAUAAAAAUUCUAGGCAUAAUCCUUUUUGGGUCAAAUGUAUCAAAAUGAUUUCUGUCGUAAAUUGACAAUCCGAAAUGGUACAAAUUGGAAUAAGAAAUCCAUAUUAUAAUCAUCACAAUUAUAGUUGUGGUGGCGGAUAAUUUUUGUUUUAAUACGGAGUUGAAUGUAUGUAAAGAAAAGGAAAGAUUUAAACUUAAAGGUUUAAAUCCUCUAAAUGGGUCAAAAUAAAUUAGGUGAUAAAAAUGUUGGUUUAGUGUAAGAAAGUUACAAAAUAAACUAGCGAAUGAAGAUGUGUGUGCGAACCAUGUAAUGGUAGCGGAAACACUAAUGUUGACAAGCCCAGGGAUGGGUAAAAAGGGAUUAGAAACAAUCAUCGUUGAUAAACAUGUAUUGUUGAUAAACAUGUAUUAUGUAGAUAAAUGAAACGGGUCGAAUAAUGGCGUGAAGGAUUGAUAAGCCUUUUGCUUAUAAUUCAGCUUUUGAUGUGAAUUAAGAUGAUAAACGGAUCCGUAAUUAAAUUACGGACGCAUAGGAAAAAGAAUCACACAAAUCGGAUAAGUAGAUAAAAAGUUAUGACAUUUGGAAGUUGAAUUUUGGUUAAAAGCCAUAGUUGGGCAGAUAUGCAGGUCUAGAUACGGACCUGCUGGAAAGUGGUCUCUCCCGCGGCACGCGAGGGGACAUAGUGGCACCGGCGCGACACGCGACGGGUGUCGUGGCACACGAAAGGGCAAGGGAAGCCUCUCGCGUAGCGCGAGAGGCAUGAAUCCGGAAAAAAUAUUUUUAUUUUGUUGUGAACGUAGUAUGCUCCCGGAUGAAGAUCAAGUGAAGAUCAAGAGCCGAACACACGACUAAACAAAGCUUCCGCAUUGAUCUAGUUUUGCUUUAUAUAAUUGAUAUGUGUAAACACCCAUAACAUAGUUUUUGAAUGAUUCAAACAUGUGUGAACGUUUGGAUGAAAAAGUUU
This 1872-nucleotide long non-coding RNA is filed under the name Helianthus annuus (common sunflower). Its description in RNAcentral is "hypothetical non coding rna". Lineage: Eukaryota; Viridiplantae; Streptophyta; Magnoliopsida; Asterales; Asteraceae. The record is from RNAcentral.